UGCAAGUCGAGCGGUAGAGAGGUGCUUGCACCUCUUGAGAGCGGCGGACGGGUGAGUAAUGCCUAGGAAUCUGCCUGGUAGUGGGGGAUAACGUUCGGAAACGAACGCUAAUACCGCAUACGUCCUACGGGAGAAAGCAGGGGACCUUCGGGCCUUGCGCUAUCAGAUGAGCCUAGGUCGGAUUAGCUAGUUGGUGAGGUAAUGGCUCACCAAGGCGACGAUCCGUAACUGGUCUGAGAGGAUGAUCAGUCACACUGGAACUGAGACACGGUCCAGACUCCUACGGGAGGCAGCAGUGGGGAAUAUUGGACAAUGGGCGAAAGCCUGAUCCAGCCAUGCCGCGUGUGUGAAGAAGGUCUUCGGAUUGUAAAGCACUUUAAGUUGGGAGGAAGGGUUGUAGAUUAAUACUCUGCAAUUUUGACGUUACCGACAGAAUAAGCACCGGCUAACUCUGUGCCAGCAGCCGCGGUAAUACAGAGGGUGCAAGCGUUAAUCGGAAUUACUGGGCGUAAAGCGCGCGUAGGUGGUUCGUUAAGUUGGAUGUGAAAGCCCCGGGCUCAACCUGGGAACUGCAUUCAAAACUGUCGAGCUAGAGUAUGGUAGAGGGUGGGUGGAAUUUCCUGUGUAGCGGUGAAAUGCGUAGAUAUAGGAAGGAACACCAGUGGCGAAGGCGACCACCUGGACUGAUACUGACACUGAGGUGCGAAAGCGUGGGGAGCAAACAGGAUUAGAUACCCUGGUAGUCCACGCCGUAAACGAUGUCAACUAGCCGUUGGGAGCCUUGAGCUCUUAGUGGCGCAGCUAACGCAUUAAGUUGACCGCCUGGGGGAGUACGGCCGCAAGGUUAAAACUCAAAUGAAUUGGACGGGGGCCCGCACAAGCGGUGGA
This 888-nucleotide ribosomal RNA is filed under the name Pseudomonas sp. RNAcentral describes it as "bacterial SSU rRNA". It matches the Rfam family "Bacterial small subunit ribosomal RNA", at positions 56 to 936 of the family's 1533-position model. Lineage: Bacteria; Pseudomonadati; Pseudomonadota; Gammaproteobacteria; Pseudomonadales; Pseudomonadaceae. The record is from RNAcentral.